RNAcentral lists this non-coding RNA (98 nucleotides) under Chloroparvula japonica. Lineage: Eukaryota; Viridiplantae; Chlorophyta; Chloropicophyceae; Chloropicales; Chloropicaceae. The record is from RNAcentral.
GAGAGGAAGAGAAAAGAAAGGAGGGUGAAAAAGAGGAAAACUUAUUAUUAGUUAUGCUACAUUUUUAAAAUUUCAUGAUAUCAUAUUUACAUAUUUUG